RNAcentral lists this ribosomal RNA (229 nucleotides) under uncultured bacterium. RNAcentral's name for it is "partial 16S ribosomal RNA". It matches the Rfam family "Bacterial small subunit ribosomal RNA", at positions 568 to 796 of the family's 1533-position model. The record is from RNAcentral.
UGCGUAGGCGGAUAAAUAAGUCAGUGGUGAAAUCUUUCGGCUCAACCGGGAAACUACCAUUGAUACUGUUUAUCUUGAGUUCGGUAGAGGUAGGCGGAAUGUGUAAUGUAGCGGUGAAAUGCUUAGAUAUUACACAGAACACCAAUUGCGUAGGCAGCUUACUAUGCCGACACUGACGCUGAGGCACGAAAGCGUGGGGAGCGAACAGGAUUAGAUACCCUGGUAGUCC